RNAcentral lists this ribosomal RNA (557 nucleotides) under uncultured fungus. Its description in RNAcentral is "SSU rRNA". It matches the Rfam family "Eukaryotic small subunit ribosomal RNA", at positions 194 to 755 of the family's 1831-position model. Lineage: Eukaryota; Fungi. The record is from RNAcentral.
GGAAGGGAUGUAUUUAUUAGAUUAAAAACCAAUGCCCUUCGGGGCUCCUUGGUGAUUCAUGAUAACUCUUCGAAUCGCAUGGCCUUGUGCCGGCGAUGGUUCAUUCAAAUUUCUUCCCUAUCAACUUUCGAUGUUUGGGUAUUGGCCAAACAUGGUUGCAACGGGUAACGGAGGGUUAGGGCUCGACCCCGGAGAAGGAGCCUGAGAAACGGCUACUACAUCCAAGGAAGGCAGCAGGCGCGCAAAUUACCCAAUCCCGACACGGGGAGGUAGUGACAAUAAAUACUGAUACAGGGCUCUUUUGAGUCUUGUAAUUGGAAUGAGUACAAUUUAAAUCCCUUAACGAGGAACAAUUGGAGGGCAAGUCUGGUGCCAGCAGCCGCGGUAAUUCCAGCUCCAAUAGCGUAUAUUAAAGUUGUUGCAGUUAAAAAGCUCGUAGUUGAACCUUGGGCCUGGCUGGCCGGUCCGCCUCACCGCGUGCACUGGUCCGGCCGGGCCUUUCCUCCUGGGGAGCCGCAUGCCCUUCACUGGGUGUGUCAGGGAACCAGGACUUUUAC